AGUGAACGCUGGCGGUAGGCCUAACACAUGCAAGUCGAACGGCAGCACAGUAAGAGCUUGCUCUUACGGGUGGCGAGUGGCGGACGGGUGAGGAAUACAUCGGACUCUACUUUUUCGUGGGGGAUAACGUAGGGAAAGCUACGCUAAUACCGCAUACGACCUACGGGUGAAAGCAGGGGGUCUUCGGACCUUGCGCGGUUGAAUGAGCCGAUGUCGGAUUAGCUAGUUGGCGGGGUAAAGGCCCACCCAGGCGACGAUCCGUAGCUGGUCUGAGAGGAUGAUCAGCCACCCUAGAACUGAGACACGGUCCAGACUCCUACGGGAGGCAGCAGUGGGGAAUAUUGGACAAUGGGCGCAAGCCUGAUCCAGCCAUAGCGCGUGGGUGAAGGAGGCCUUCGGGUUGUAAAGCCCUUUUGUUGGGAAAGAAAAGCAGCAGGUUAAUACCCCGCUGUUCUGACGGUACCCAAAGAAUAAGCACCGGCUAACUUCGUG
Molecule: ribosomal RNA, 492 nt
Filed under: uncultured bacterium
Lineage: Bacteria
Description: partial 16S ribosomal RNA
Rfam family: Bacterial small subunit ribosomal RNA
Source: RNAcentral